UNUGACUUGAGUGCAGAAGGGGAGAGUGGAAUUCCAUGUGUAGCGGUGAAAUGCGUAGAUAUAUGGAGGANCACCAGUGGCGAAAGCGGCUCUCUGGUCUGUCACUGACGCUGAGGCUCGAAAGCGUGGGUAGCGAACAGGAUUAGAUACCCUGGUAGUNCACGCCGUAAACGAUGAGUGCUAGGUGUUAGGCCCUUUCCGGGGCUUAGUGCCGGAGCUAACGCAAUAAGCACUCCGCCUGGGGAGUACGACCGCAAGGUUGAAACUCAGAGGAAUUGACGGGGGCCCGCACAAGCGGUGGAGCAUGUGGUUUAAUUCGAAGCAACGCGAAGAACCUUACCAGGUCUUGACAUCCCGAUGCUAUUCUUAGAGAUAGGAAGUUACUUCGGUACAUCGGAGACAGGUGGUGCAUGGUUGUCGUCAGCUCGUGUCGUGAGAUGUUGGGUUAAGUCCCGCAACGAGCGCAACCCUUAUUGUUAGUUGCCAUCAUUAAGUUGGGCACUCUAGCGAGACUGCCGGUAAUAAACCGGAGGAAGGUGGGGAUGACGUCAAAUCAUCAUGCCCCUUAUGACCUGGGCUACACACGUGCUACAAUGGUCGGUACAACGAGUUGCGAGCCGGUGACGGCAAGCUAAUCUCUGAAAGCCGUUCUCAGUUCGGAUUGGAGGCUGCAACUCGCCUCCAUGAAGUCGGAAUCGCUAGUAAUCGCGGAUCAGCACGCCGCGGUGAAUACGUUCCCGGGCCUUGUACACACCGCCCGUCACACCACGAGAGUUUGUAACACCCGAAGUCGGUGAGGUAACCUUUUAGGGGCCA
Molecule: ribosomal RNA, 816 nt
Filed under: uncultured bacterium
Lineage: Bacteria
Description: bacterial SSU rRNA
Rfam family: Bacterial small subunit ribosomal RNA
Source: RNAcentral